GACGAACGCUGGCGGCGUGCCUAAUACAUGCAAGUAGAACGCUGAAGAGAGGAGCUUGCUCUUCUUGGAUGAGUUGCGAACGGGUGAGUAACGCGUAGGUAACCUGCCUUGUAGCGGGGGAUAACUAUUGGAAACGAUAGCUAAUACCGCAUAACAAUGGAUGACACAUGUCAUUUAUUUGAAAGGGGCAAUUGUUCCACUACAAGAUGGACCUGCGUUGUAUUAGCUAGUAGGUGAGGUAAUGGCUCACCUAGGCGACGAUACAUAGCCGGCCUGAGAGGGUGAUCGGCCACACUGGGACUGAGACACGGCCCAGACUCCUACGGGAGGCAGCAGUAGGGAAUCUUCGGCAAUGGGGGCAACGCUGACCGAGCAACGCCGCGUGAGUGAAGAAGGGUUUCGGAUCGUAAAGCUCUGUUGUAAGUCAAGAACGGGUGUGAGAGUGGAAAGUUCACACUGUGACGGUAGCUUACCAGAAAGAGACGGCUAACUACGUG
This 497-nucleotide ribosomal RNA is filed under the name uncultured bacterium. RNAcentral's name for it is "partial 16S ribosomal RNA". It matches the Rfam family "Bacterial small subunit ribosomal RNA", at positions 28 to 507 of the family's 1533-position model. The record is from RNAcentral.